RNAcentral lists this ribosomal RNA (502 nucleotides) under uncultured bacterium. RNAcentral's name for it is "partial 16S ribosomal RNA". It matches the Rfam family "Bacterial small subunit ribosomal RNA", at positions 28 to 507 of the family's 1533-position model. The record is from RNAcentral.
GACGAACGCUGGCGGCGUGCCUAAUACAUGCAAGUCGAGCGAACCGCCGCGAGGUUCUUUCACUUGAUCAAAGUGAGGGACGAACGAGUAACUAACAGAUAACUAACCUACCAGAUUGGGAUGGAUAACGGUCACAAGCGACUACUAAGGCUACUUAGGACAAAGGCACGCUUCAUUAGUUAAAGAAAGUUUUCGCAAGCUAUCUCGAUGGAAUGGACCCGCGUUGCAUUAGCUAGUUGGUAGGGUAAUGGCCUACCAAGGCUAUGAUGCAUAGCCGACCUGAGAGGGUGAUCGGCCACAUUGGGACUGAGACACGGCCCAAACUCCUACGGGAGGCAGCAGUAGGGAAUCUUCCGCAAUGGACGAAAGUCUGACGGAGCAACGCCGCGUGAGUGAAGAAGGUCUUCGGAUCGUAAAGCUCUGUUGUUAGAGAAGAACAGAGGAUAGAGUAACUGUUAUGGGUGUGACGGUACCUAAUCAGAAAGCCACGGCUAACUACGUG